This is a long non-coding RNA of Equus caballus (horse), 1889 nucleotides long. The record is from Ensembl. NCBI's taxonomy places the organism in Eukaryota, Metazoa, Chordata, Mammalia, Perissodactyla, Equidae.
GCCGGCAGUUGCCAAUUAAGUUCUUCCCCUGGCCUGUUAGCCCAGGGGUCUGCCCCACCCACUAGAGUGCAGAUUUAAUCCACUUCAGCCAGGGCAGGCAGCCUGCCCUAGAGACCAGCUCCACCCGACAGCAAGCCCUCAGACUACUUGUCAGCAUGCCUAGACUGAGUGUCUUGAUCCUCUACAGGCAGAUAAGCAAAUGGAGACAAACUGGUUGGCAAUCUUCUUAAGGUCAUAUAGAGGCCAAGUCAGGAUUUGAAGCCAGAUGGAACCUGUUCUCCCUAACCAACUCUCUGAGGCCAAACCUCAGCGGCUGGAGGAUUCAGUCCUUAUGCUGUGCAGACAGCUCCUCCUGAGGACUCACAUCGGACACAGCAUGCAGGCAAUCAGCCGGAAGCAAUCUAGAGCAGAGGCCAAUGGAUGCAAGCUUGUCCCACCCACCCCUAACAAGACCAGCCUGCAGUGUGGGGCACCCCAUGGUUCCGGCAUGAGCAAACAAAGGCUGAACACCGAGCUCUCCUGGCAAACACCCUUUAUCACAGAGUCCACAGACGGGAGGUGGGUGCACAGUUCAACCUCCUCCAGCUUCGUCUGUGUCCACGGAGUGCUUGGCAACACCAGGGCCCGAACGGAAGGACUUCACUCCCGUGGGAUGGUUCUACUGACCAACAGGUUGAUGCAAAGGGAGACGUAUGGUAAACAGGGAGCACCCCACGUUCACCUGAGGGCUUCACCGUGCUGGCGUCACAGGGGGCACCCCACGUUCGCCUGAGGACGUCACCGUGCAGGUUCACAGACGAGCUGAAGUCUGCACGUGGGGUUUUGCUCCAGGUGAAGCCAGCCCUGGACUCCCAGUUCCAUCUUUGACAAGCCUGUGAUUGCAGCAUGGUCUUGGAAUCAGACAGCGAAGGGCAAAGCCCAGCUCUUUCCCUUGAGAGAUUUGUUAUCAUGGGCAUUUUACUUCACCCUUUUAGUCCUCAGCUUCUGCAUCUAUAAAAUGAAGGUCAUUGUUGUGAACACACAAGGAAACGUGAGGUCAUGUAUUAAUAUUUUAGUUUAGGGCCUGACACACUGUAGGCCCUCAGUGGAUGGCACUGCUUUCACUUUUUGAUCUGUCGCGCUUUACUGCCUUAAAUUCCAGCUAAAAAUAUUAGGCAGACUAUUAAAGUUCAUAUCUUUACCCGUGGCAAAAAGCUACUGAAUUUUUAUUCCACCGACAUGCUAUUUGUUAAAAUAUUUCAUUCAAUACACCUUCAUUGAAUAAAAUAUUAAAUCAACUAAGUGAAGAUGAAAAUUUUGGUUGAAAUGGCUUUCCAGUAACAUGAGAUGAAAAUUCUUAUUAUUUUGCAAAUUCUGUUAUUAGCGAGUAUAGAAUCUGCCUGCCUUGUUCCCUGGCCUCUGCACUUUCGGGUCCCUCACUCCCAAAUUCCUUCUUUGUCCCUGUUCAUCACUCACCAAGUUUGGAGAUCCAUUCUGGGUUGUCCUGUUGUCUGUGUGGUGGUGGGCGUGUUAAAGAGGGAAGAGGCAGCCAGAGGAGGUGUUUGGUAGAAUAGUCAGUGGAGAGUGAUGGAGUCUAUUUUUAAGGAAGGGACGGAUCCUCAGGCUGGACGUGGUCUCAGUUACGCUUCCAGCCAAAGAGACUAGCUGAGCAUGGGCUCGUGGAAGGAUCUGGUCAUGAACGUGGUGUGGAAACAGCCUCAGGGCCAUUGGUAUCAGAAGAGAAGUUGGUCCCAAAGUGACUGGCAGUGGUCACUCAGCAGAGUUUUCAGAGCAGCAGAGUUGGCAGACGCCACGUGUAAAGUGGCCCAGGAGCAGUUGCAAUUUUAGAUCCUCCACGUGCAGCCACCACGUUAAGAACUGCAGUUUGUGCAUUUCAGCGGGUUCCUUUG